CACACGCACCAGCUCAUGGGAGACGGGCAAUCAGAAGCCCAGUUGCUCGAACACUAACCCUCUCUCACAGGGUCAAGGAGACCAGCCUUGCUGUGCAUCUGUGACAAA
Molecule: non-coding RNA, 108 nt
Organism: Odocoileus virginianus texanus
Lineage: Eukaryota; Metazoa; Chordata; Mammalia; Artiodactyla; Cervidae
Source: RefSeq, a predicted model, not a curated record